Molecule: ribosomal RNA, 256 nt
Filed under: uncultured bacterium
Lineage: Bacteria
Description: partial 16S ribosomal RNA
Rfam family: Bacterial small subunit ribosomal RNA
Source: RNAcentral
UAAUACGAAGGGGGCAAGCGUUGUUCGGAUUUACUGGGCGUAAAGCGUCCGUAGGCGGUUAGGAAAGUCAGAAGUGAAAGCCCAGGGCUCAACCCUGGAAUUGCUUUUGAAACUCCCUUACUAGAGGCCGGGAGAGGUAAGCAGAAUUCCGAGUGUAGAGGUGAAAUUCGCAGAUAUUCGGAGGAAUACCAGUGGCGAAAGCGGCUUACUGGACCGGUUCUGACGCUGAUGGACGAAAGCGUGGGUAGCAAACAGG